GUGGGGAAUCUUGCGCAAUGGGCGAAAGCCUGACGCAGCAACGCCGCGUGCGGGAUGACGGCCUUCAAGGUUGUAAACCGCUUUCAGCAGGGACGAAAAUGACGGUACCUGCAGAAGAAGCCCCGGCUAACUACGUGCCAGCAGCCGCGGUAAUACGUAGGGGGCAAGCGUUGUCCGGAUUCAUUGGGCGUAAAGAGCUCGUAGGCGGUUCAGUAAGUCGGGUGUGAAAGCUCCGAGCUCAACUCGGAGAGGCCACCCGAUACUGCUGUGACUUGAGUACAGUAGGGGAGCGUGGAAUUCCUGGUGUAGCGGUGAAAUGCGCAGAUAUCAGGAGGAACACCAGCGGCGAAGGCGGCGCUCUGGGCUGUAACUGACGCUGAGGAGCGAAAGUGUGGGUAGCAAACAGGAUUAGAUACCCCAGUAGUCC
RNAcentral lists this ribosomal RNA (427 nucleotides) under uncultured bacterium. RNAcentral's name for it is "partial 16S ribosomal RNA". It matches the Rfam family "Bacterial small subunit ribosomal RNA", at positions 354 to 796 of the family's 1533-position model. The record is from RNAcentral.